Molecule: ribosomal RNA, 497 nt
Filed under: uncultured bacterium
Lineage: Bacteria
Description: partial 16S ribosomal RNA
Rfam family: Bacterial small subunit ribosomal RNA
Source: RNAcentral
GAUGAACGCUGGCGGCGUGCCUAAUACAUGCAAGUCGAGCGAACGGACGAGAAGCUUGCUUUUCUGAUGUUAGCGGCGGACGGGUGAGUAACACGUGGAUAACCUACCUCUAAUACUGGUAUAACUUCGGGAAACCGGAGCUAAUACCGGAUAAUAUUUUGAACCGCAUGGUUCAAGAGUGAAAGACGGUCUUGCUGUCACUUAUAGAUGGACCCGCGCUGCAUUAGCUAGUUGGUAACGUAACGGCUUACCAAGGCAACGAUGCAUAGCCGACCUGAGCGGCGGAUAGGCGACAUUGGAGGGGAGACGCCGUCCAGACGACUACGAGACGCAGCAGUAGGGAACCUUACGCAAUGGGGGAGAGCAUGACGGAGCAACGGCGCGUGAGUGGUGACGGUGCUGGGAGCGUAAUGCUGGCUUAUUAGGGGUGAACAUCUGUGGCAGGGAAUGUGCAGAUAUUGACGGUACCUGGAGAAGAAGCCCCGGCUAACUACGUG